RNAcentral lists this small nuclear RNA (142 nucleotides) under Callithrix jacchus (white-tufted-ear marmoset). RNAcentral's name for it is "U4 spliceosomal RNA (ENSCJAG00000035580.3)". It matches the Rfam family "U4 spliceosomal RNA". From Rfam's summary of the family: U4 small nuclear RNA (U4 snRNA) is a component of the major U2-dependent spliceosome. The structure of U4 snRNA from yeast and human has been reported. Lineage: Eukaryota; Metazoa; Chordata; Mammalia; Primates; Cebidae. The record is from Rfam by way of RNAcentral.
AGCUUUGCACAGUGGCAGUAUCAUAAGCCAAUGAGGUUUAUCCAAGGCGCGAUUAUUGCUAAUUGAAAACUUUUCCCAAUACCCCGCCAUGACAACUUGCAAUACAGUCAACACUGGCAAUUUUAUACAAAUUGUUUAGAUU